Molecule: ribosomal RNA, 465 nt
Filed under: uncultured bacterium
Lineage: Bacteria
Description: partial 16S ribosomal RNA
Rfam family: Bacterial small subunit ribosomal RNA
Source: RNAcentral
GACGAACGCUGGCGGCGUGCUUAACACAUGCCAGUCGAACGGAAAGGCCCUGCUUGCAGGGUACUCGAGUGGCGAACGGGUGAGUAACACGUGGGUGAUCUGCCCUGCACUUCGGGAUAAGCCUGGGAAACUGGGUCUAAUACCGGCUAGGAGCCAUUUUUAGCGUGAUGGUUGGAAAGUUUUUUCGGUGUAGGAUGAGCUCGCCGCCUAUCGGCUUGUUGGUGGGGUAAUGGCCUACCAAGGCGGCGACGGGUAGCCGGCCUGAGAGGGUGGACGGCCAGAAUUGGUCUGAGAUUCGGCCCAGGCUGCUACGGGAAGCAGCAGUUGGGAAUAGUGCACCACCGGAGCAAGGCUGAUGGAGCGACGCCGCGUGGGGGAUGACGGCCGUCGGGUUGUAAACUCCUUCCGCUAGGGGCGAAGCUUUUUGUGACGGUACCUAGAUAAGAAGCACCGGCUAACUACGUG